AUACGUAGGGGGCAAGCGUUAUCCGGAUUUACUGGGUGUAAAGGGAGCGUAGACGGAAGGCCAAGUCUGAUGUGAAAGCCCGCGGCUCAACUGCGGGACUGCAUUGGAAACUGGUCAUCUGGAGUGCAGGAGGGGUAAGCGGAAUUCCUAGUGUAGCGGUGAAAUGCGUAGAUAUGCCACAGAACGCCGAUAGCGGAGGCAGCUCGCCAGGCCUGCAUUGACGCUCGGGCACGAAAGCGUGGGGAUCGAACAGGAUUAGAGACCCGGGUAGUCCACGCCGUAAACGAUGGGCGCGCGUCGUCGGCGGCAGACAGUCGGCGGCCAAGCGAAAGCGAUAAGCGCCCCACCUGGGGAGUACGGUCGCAAGGCUGAAACUCAAAUGAAUUGACGGGG
This 393-nucleotide ribosomal RNA is filed under the name uncultured bacterium. Its description in RNAcentral is "partial 16S ribosomal RNA". It matches the Rfam family "Bacterial small subunit ribosomal RNA", at positions 523 to 918 of the family's 1533-position model. The record is from RNAcentral.